RNAcentral lists this ribosomal RNA (320 nucleotides) under uncultured eukaryote. RNAcentral describes it as "partial 18S ribosomal RNA". It matches the Rfam family "Eukaryotic small subunit ribosomal RNA", at positions 1470 to 1796 of the family's 1831-position model. The record is from RNAcentral.
CCCCUAGAUGUUCUGGGCCGCACGCGCGCUACACUGAACAGUUCAACAAGUCUUAACCUUGGCCGAUAGGUCUGGGUAAUCUUUGAACGCUGUUCGUGAUUGGGAUAGACCUUUGCAAUUAUGGGUCUUCAACGAGGAAUUCCUAGUAAACGCAAGUCAUCAGCUUGCAUUGAUUACGUCCCUGCCCUUUGUACACACCGCUCGUCGCACCUACCGAUUGAAUGGUCCGGUGAAAUCUCGGGACGGCGGCUUGGUCGCUUGCGUCCGACUGCUGAAACUUGAUUAAACCAUAUCAUUUAGAGGAAGGUGAANUCGUAACA